This 83-nucleotide transfer RNA is filed under the name Actinomycetes bacterium. RNAcentral's name for it is "tRNA-Leu". It matches the Rfam family "tRNA". Rfam says of the family: Transfer RNA (tRNA) molecules are approximately 80 nucleotides in length. Their secondary structure includes four short double-helical elements and three loops (D, anti-codon, and T loops). Further hydrogen bonds mediate the characteristic L-shaped molecular structure. tRNAs have two regions of fundamental functional importance: the anti-codon, which is responsible for specific mRNA codon recognition, and the 3' end, to which the tRNAs corresponding amino acid is attached (by aminoacyl-tRNA synthetases). tRNAs cope with the degeneracy of the genetic code in two manners: having more than one tRNA (with a specific anti-codon) for a particular amino acid; and 'wobble' base-pairing, i.e. permitting non-standard base-pairing at the 3rd anti-codon position. Lineage: Bacteria; Bacillati; Actinomycetota; Actinomycetes. RNAcentral also lists the same sequence under 2 other names. The record is from RNAcentral.
GCCCGGGUGGCGGAAUGGCAGACGCGGCGGACUCAAAAUCCGCUGUCCGAAAGGGCGUGUGGGUUCAAAUCCCACCCCGGGCA